Molecule: ribosomal RNA, 718 nt
Filed under: Paenibacillus sp. M-14-371
Lineage: Bacteria; Bacillati; Bacillota; Bacilli; Caryophanales; Paenibacillaceae
Description: bacterial SSU rRNA
Rfam family: Bacterial small subunit ribosomal RNA
Source: RNAcentral
CAAGUCGAGCGGAGGUCUGUAUGAGGUUGACUUGCACCUCUGAUGCUUAACGCGCGGACGGGUGAGUAUCACGUGGGUAACCUGCCUAUAAAACUGGGAUAACUUUCGGAAACGAAUGUUAAUACCGGAUACUCGAUAUGGUCGAGUGACUGAAUCAGGAAAGAUGGAGCAAUGUAUCACUUAUCCAUGGACCCGAGGAGCAUUAGCUAGUUGGAGAGGAAACGGCUCACCAAGGGGACUAUGAGUAGCCGACCUGAGAGGGUGAUCGGCCACACUGGGACUGAUACACGGCCCAGACUCCUACGAGAGGCACCUGUAGGGAAUCUUCCGAAAUGGACAAAAGUGUGACGGAGCAACGCCGCGUGAGAGAUGAAGGUUUUCCGAUCAAAAAGCUCUGUUGACAUGCAAGAAUGCUUGCGAGAGUAUCUGCUCUCAAGGAGACGGGACCUGAAAAAAAGGCCCCGGAUAACUACGUGCCAGCAGCCGCAGUAAUACGUAAGGGGCCAGCGUUGUCCCGAAUUAUUGCCUGUAAAGCUCGCUCACGUGGUCUUGUAAGACUGAUGUUUAAACUUGGGGGUCAACCCCAAAAUCCCAAGGAUAAACUGGAAAACUUCAGUACAGAAGAGGAAAGUGGUAAUUCCCACUAUGUGAGCGGUGAAAUGCGAAAGAGAUGUGGAGGAAACACCCAAUGAGNAUAACGCUGACUUUGUCGGCAAUG